UGGGGAAUAUUGCACAAUGGGCGCAAGCCUGAUGCAGCCAUGCCGCGUGUGUGAAGAAGGCCUUCGGGUUGUAAAGCACUUUCAGCGAGGAGGAAGGUGGUGAGCUUAAUACGCUCAUCAAUUGACGUUACUCGCAGAAGAAGCACCGGCUAACUCCGUGCCAGCAGCCGCGGUAAUACGGAGGGUGCAAGCGUUAAUCGGAAUUACUGGGCGUAAAGCGCACGCAGGCGGUUUGUUAAGUCAGAUGUGAAAUCCCCGGGCUCAACCUGGGAACUGCAUUUGAAACUGGCAAGCUAGAGUCUCGUAGAGGGGGGUAGAAUUCCAGGUGUAGCGGUGAAAUGCGUAGAGAUCUGGAGGAAUACCGGUGGCGAAGGCGGCCCCCUGGACGAAGACUGACGCUCAGGUGCGAAAGCGUGGGGAGCAAACAGGAUUAGAUACCCCUGGUAGUCCACGCUGUAAACGAUGUCGAUUUUGGNGGUUGUGCCCUUGAGGCGUGGCUUCCGGAGCUAACGCGUUAAA
This 519-nucleotide ribosomal RNA is filed under the name uncultured bacterium. RNAcentral's name for it is "partial 16S ribosomal RNA". It matches the Rfam family "Bacterial small subunit ribosomal RNA", at positions 355 to 864 of the family's 1533-position model. The record is from RNAcentral.